CCUCCCCAGAGACAUAGCACGUGUGUCAGUUGUCACAUGUGUGUAGGUUUGUGGCAGAAAGGAAAGAUGUUCUGUCUAAGCUCAGUGUCUGACCUGAGACCCUCUGAGUGAUUAGUAUCCCAAA
Molecule: small nucleolar RNA, 124 nt
Filed under: Meriones unguiculatus (Mongolian gerbil)
Lineage: Eukaryota; Metazoa; Chordata; Mammalia; Rodentia; Muridae
Description: Small nucleolar RNA SNORA17 (ENSMUGG00000009640.1)
Rfam family: Small nucleolar RNA SNORA17
About the family: snoRNA ACA 17 belongs to the H/ACA family of snoRNAs and is predicted to guide pseudouridylation of the 28S rRNA at positions U4659 and U4598. It shares the same host gene together with ACA43.
Source: RNAcentral